UAUGGUCAAGUGAAGAAGCGCAUACGGUGGAUGCCUUGGCAGUCAGAGGCGAUGAAAGACGUGGUAGCCUGCGAAAAGCUUCGGGGAGUCGGCAAACAGACUGUGAUCCGGAGGUAUCUGAAUGGGGGAACCCAGCCAUCAUAAGAUGGUUAUCUUGUACUGAAUACAUAGGUGCAAGAGGCGAACCAGGGGAACUGAAACAUCUAAGUACCCUGAGGAAAAGAAAUCAACCGAGAUUCCCUUAGUAGUGGCGAGCGAACGGGGACCAGCCCUUAAGUUGUAUUGAGAUUAGCGGAACACUCUGGAAAGGGUGGCCAUAGUGGGUGAUAGCCCUGUACGCGAAAAUCCCUUUGCAAUGAAAUCGAGUAGGACGGGGCACGAGAAACCUUGUCUGAAUAUGGGGGGACCAUCCUCCAAGGCUAAAUACUACUGACUGACCGAUAGUGAACCAGUACCGUGAGGGAAAGGCGAAAAGAACCGCGGAGAGCGGAGUGAAAUAGAUCCUGAAACCGUAUGCGUACAAGCAGUGGGAGCCCACUUUGUUGGGUGACUGCGUACCUUUUGUAUAAUGGGUCAGCGACUUAUUUUCAGUGGCGAGCUUAACCGAAUAGGGGAGGCGUAGCGAAAGCGAGUCUUAAUAGGGCGUCUAGUCGCUGGGAAUAGACCCGAAACCGGGCGAUCUAUCCAUGGGCAGGUUGAAGGUUGGGUAACACUAACUGGAGGACCGAACCGACUACCGUUGAAAAGUUAGCGGAUGACCUGUGGAUCGGAGUGAAAGGCUAAUCAAGCUCGGAGAUAGCUGGUUCUCCUCGAAAGCUAUUUAGGUAGCGCCUCAUGUAUCACUGUAGGGGGUAGAGCACUGUUUCGGCUAGGGGGUCAUCCCGACUUACCAAACCGAUGCAAACUCCGAAUACCUACAAGUGCCGAGCAUGGGAGACACACGGCGGGUGCUAACGUCCGUCGUGAAAAGGGAAACAACCCAGACCGUCAGCUAAGGUCCCAAAGUCAUGGUUAAGUGGGAAACGAUGUGGGAAGGCUUAGACAGCUAGGAGGUUGGCUUAGAAGCAGCCACCCUUUAAAGAAAGCGUAAUAGCUCACUAGUCGAGUCGGCCUGCGCGGAAGAUGUAACGGGGCUCAAACCAUGCACCGAAGCUACGGGUAUCAUCUUUUGAUGAUGCGGUAGAGGAGCGUUCUGUAAGCCUGUGAAGGUGAGUUGAGAAGCUUGCUGGAGGUAUCAGAAGUGCGAAUGCUGACAUGAGUAACGACAAUGGGUGUGAAAAACACCCACGCCGAAAGACCAAGGUUUCCUGCGCAACGUUAAUCGACGCAGGGUUAGUCGGUCCCUAAGGCGAGGCUGAAAAGCGUAGUCGAUGGAAAACAGGUUAAUAUUCCUGUACUUCUGGUUAUUGCGAUGGAGGGACGGAGAAGGCUAGGCCAGCCUGGCGUUGGUUGUCCAGGUUUAAGGUGGUAGGCUGAGAUCUUAGGUAAAUCCGGGAUCUUAAGGCCGAGAGCUGAUGACGAGUGUUCUUUUAGAACACGAAGUGGUUGAUGCCAUGCUUCCAAGAAAAGCUUCUAAGCUUCAGGUAACCAGGAACCGUACCCCAAACCGACACAGGUGGUUGGGUAGAGAAUACCAAGGCGCUUGAGAGAACUCGGGUGAAGGAACUAGGCAAAAUGGCACCGUAACUUCGGGAGAAGGUGCGCCGGUGAGGGUUAAGCAUUUACUGCGUAAGCCCAUGCCGGUCGAAGAUACCAGGCCGCUGCGACUGUUUAUUAAAAACACAGCACUCUGCAAACACGAAAGUGGACGUAUAGGGUGUGACGCCUGCCCGGUGCCGGAAGGUUAAUUGAUGGGGUUAGCGCAAGCGAAGCUCUUGAUCGAAGCCCCGGUAAACGGCGGCCGUAACUAUAACGGUCCUAAGGUAGCGAAAUUCCUUGUCGGGUAAGUUCCGACCUGCACGAAUGGCGUAACGAUGGCGGCGCUGUCUCCACCCGAGACUCAGUGAAAUUGAAAUCGCUGUGAAGAUGCAGUGUAUCCGCGGCUAGACGGAAAGACCCCGUGAACCUUUACUAUAGCUUUGCACUGGACUUUGAAUUUGCUUGUGUAGGAUAGGUGGGAGGCUUUGAAGCGUGGACGCCAGUCUGCGUGGAGCCAACCUUGAAAUACCACCCUGGCAACUUUGAGGUUCUAACUCAGGUCCGUUAUCCGGAUCGAGGACAGUGUAUGGUGGGUAGUUUGACUGGGGCGGUCUCCUCCUAAAGAGUAACGGAGGAGUACGAAGGUGCGCUCAGACCGGUCGGAAAUCGGUCGUAGAGUAUAAAGGCAAAAGCGCGCUUGACUGCGAGACAGACACGUCGAGCAGGUACGAAAGUAGGUCUUAGUGAUCCGGUGGUUCUGUAUGGAAGGGCCAUCGCUCAACGGAUAAAAGGUACUCCGGGGAUAACAGGCUGAUACCGCCCAAGAGUUCAUAUCGACGGCGGUGUUUGGCACCUCGAUGUCGGCUCAUCACAUCCUGGGGCUGAAGCCGGUCCCAAGGGUAUGGCUGUUCGCCAUUUAAAGUGGUACGCGAGCUGGGUUUAGAACGUCGUGAGACAGUUCGGUCCCUAUCUGCCGUGGACGUUUGAGAUUUGAGAGGGGCUGCUCCUAGUACGAGAGGACCGGAGUGGACGAACCUCUGGUGUUCCGGUUGUCACGCCAGUGGCAUUGCCGGGUAGCUAUGUUCGGAAAAGAUAACCGCUGAAAGCAUCUAAGCGGGAAACUUGCCUCAAGAUGAGAUCUCACUGGAACCUUGAGUUCCCUAAAGGGCCGUCGAAGACUACGACGUUGAUAGGUUGGGUGUGUAAGCGCUGUGAGGCGUUGAGCUAACCAAUACUAAUUGCCCGUGAGGCUUGACCAUA
RNAcentral lists this ribosomal RNA (2898 nucleotides) under Pseudomonas syringae. RNAcentral's name for it is "bacterial LSU rRNA". It matches the Rfam family "Bacterial large subunit ribosomal RNA". The record is from RNAcentral. Lineage: Bacteria; Pseudomonadati; Pseudomonadota; Gammaproteobacteria; Pseudomonadales; Pseudomonadaceae.